RNAcentral lists this ribosomal RNA (471 nucleotides) under uncultured bacterium. RNAcentral describes it as "bacterial SSU rRNA". It matches the Rfam family "Bacterial small subunit ribosomal RNA", at positions 329 to 792 of the family's 1533-position model. The record is from RNAcentral.
GACCAGACUCCUACGGGAGGCAGCAGUAGGGAAUCUUCGGCAAUGGACGAAAGUCUGACCGAGCAACGCCGCGUGAGUGAAGAAGGUUUUCGGAUCGUAAAACUCUGUUGGUAGGGAAGAACGUUGGUGAGAGUGGAAAGCUCAUCAAGUGACGGUAACUACCCAGAAAGGGACGGCUAACUACGUGCCAGCAGCCGCGGUAAUACGUAGGUCCCGAGCGUUGUCCGGAUUUAUUGGGCGUAAAGCGAGCGCAGGUGGUUUAUUAAGUCUGGUGUAAAAGGCAGUGGCUCAACCAUUGUAUGCAUUGGAAACUGGUAGACUUGAGUGCAGGAGAGGAGAGUGGAAUUCCAUGUGUGGCGGUGAAAUGCGUAGAUAUCAGGAGGAACACCGGCGGCGAAGGCGGCCUGCUGGACCGUGACUGACGUUGAGGCUCGAGAGCGUGGGGAGCAAACAGGAUUAGAUACCCCUGUA